RNAcentral lists this ribosomal RNA (428 nucleotides) under uncultured bacterium. RNAcentral's name for it is "partial 16S ribosomal RNA". It matches the Rfam family "Bacterial small subunit ribosomal RNA", at positions 354 to 796 of the family's 1533-position model. The record is from RNAcentral.
GUGGGGAAUAUUGGACAAUGGGCGCAAGCCUGAUCCAGCCAUGCCGCGUGAGUGAUGAAGGCCUUAGGGUCGUAAAGCUCUGUUGAAUGGGAAGAAAAAAAUGACGGUACCAUUCGAGGAAGGACCGGCUAACUUCGUGCCAGCAGCCGCGGUAAUACGAGGGGUCCUAGCGUUGUUCGGAAUCAUUGGGCGUAAAGGGUGUGUAGGUGGCCAUGUAAGUCAGGUGUGAAAGCCCCGGGCUCAACCCGGGAAGUGCACUUGAUACUGCGUGGCUUGAGUACCGAAGAGGGUAGUGGAAUUCCAGGUGUAGUGGUGAAAUACGUAGAUAUCUGGAGGAACACCGGUGGCGAAGGCGGCUACCUGGUCGAGUACUGACACUGAGACACGAAAGCAUGGGGAUCAAACAGGAUUAGAAACCCCAGUAGUCC